RNAcentral lists this ribosomal RNA (468 nucleotides) under uncultured bacterium. Its description in RNAcentral is "partial 16S ribosomal RNA". It matches the Rfam family "Bacterial small subunit ribosomal RNA", at positions 28 to 507 of the family's 1533-position model. The record is from RNAcentral.
GACGAACGCUGGCGGCGUGCUUAACACAUGCAAGUCGAACGGAAAGGCCCUGCAUUUGUGGGGUGCUCGAGUGGCGAACGGGUGAGUAACACGUGAGUAACCUGCCCUUGACUUUGGGAUAACUUCAGGAAACUGGGGCUAAUACCGGAUAGGAGCUCCUGCUGAAUGGUGGGGGUUGGAAAGUUUCGGCGGUUGGGGAUGGACUCGCGGCUUAUCAGCUUGUUGGUGGGGUAGUGGCUUACCAAGGCCUUGACGGGUAGCCGGCCUGAGAGGGUGACCGGCCACAUUGGGACUGAGAUACGGCCCAGACUCCUACGGGAGGCAGCAGUGGGGAAUAUUGCACAAUGGGCGGAAGCCUGAUGCAGCGACGCCGCGUGCGGGAUGACGGCCUUCGGGUUGUAAACCGCUUUCGCCUGUGACGAAGCGUGAGUGACGGUAAUGGGUAAAGAAGCACCGGCUAACUACGUG